Molecule: long non-coding RNA, 1703 nt
Filed under: Volvox carteri
Lineage: Eukaryota; Viridiplantae; Chlorophyta; Chlorophyceae; Chlamydomonadales; Volvocaceae
Description: long non-coding RNA (VCAR_LNC003445)
Source: RNAcentral
CAAUCUACCAAAGUAUGUGCGCUUUGCGCAGAAUUUAAGCUAUAAAGACAAGCAAUAAUUAACUCAAUUGGUGUUCCUGGCCUCGCAGUAAUUCGUUAGCCAACUUCCACUCCGGGGCAUAGGCACUCGGGGUCGUCUUGGCCUGCAGAACCCUUCCACAUUCACGAAAUGCCUAAGUCAUGCAAAUGCGACAACCUUUUCUGUAAUAAGUUACACCUCGAAAUCCAUGAACGGUUUGCCUCAUUGGUACAGGUCGCUUGCAAUCACGCCGUACACAUCUUCAUACAUCAGUCCAGAAAUAUGGGGGCCCUUGUGAAGCAGCUGCCCGCGUUUCCAAAGCACGUAUGUUGAUGUGGAAGGUGCUGAAGUAUGUUUGCGAGGAAGAGAAUGGGGCCAGGCUGGAGAGGAAAGUGCAGUGGCAUAUUGGAAUGUGAGUUUAGUCGAAGCGAGUUACAGGGCGUUUGGCGCACGGCGGAAUGUACAUGCAGUCUUGUCGUCGCGCGCGUAUACAAGAACAACUGGAACAAGAACAACAACAACAUCAGCGCGUUUACAGUACACGUCGCGUCGGUCCUCUGCUAAGUUGUAGUAACGAAGAAUAAGGCAUAGGUACAAGUCGUCACACUUGGACGGACAUGCCAGAACAGGCAACAUGAUGGGUGAAGACGCACGCUACCAAGCAUGCACCCGAGCACGCGACUAAUGCUCGUACCAGACGAGAGGUUGUGCGCCACUGCCACGGCCAUGAGCCGACCUAUGCCACCCCUUGUUUCUUGCCUUCCCACGUAAACCGACACCCGUCAAUGAAUAGAGGCGGACUAAUGUGGGCACGUACCAGAUGAGCGGGUCUUUCAUAUACCACGGCCAUAACCACAACUAUGCCGCCCCUUGGUUCUCACCUUACCAUGUAAACGCUGACCGACACCCGUCGCCCAGAAGUGCGCUGUGUCUUCAUCUGCAGAGGCAAAUGCAUGCUUGGUUGAUUCUUGAGAUGCGACCCCCGGUCUUUCGUGCUCGGAAGCCAGCACUCGCGUACCGGAUAUGUUGGCAAUGUUGCAUAGACGCUGCACUUCGGCUUCCGUGCGCAAAACUACCAAAACUACACAUGCUCAACUGAAGACAUUCCCGGUGAAUGUUCAGCAGCGCUUGAGCCUGCUGCUGGCUGACGUCCUUCCGGAGCUGCUGCAACACGUCUAACGCAGGCACGGCCGCAUGCGCAGCAAACAGCUGUUCCAUGCCAUCAGCGGCGUCCAUGUUACUUACACGGGUCCGAACGACUUAUGUGUUCUUUUGUUUAAUUCUGUGUAUGUUAUAUUUAUUGCGUCAGUUUGUAUUUUGACAUUAGUCGGAACAGGGUCCUGUAUGCUUCCUUUUGCAAAAGUGCCUCUUCACGAGCCCAGUCUUGCAAGCUACGACGUAGGCUUUCGGUGCUUUCAGUUACUGCAAAGCAGCCACGCAAUAGUCCAGCCUGCAUGCCGCGUGCGACUGUGGCCAUCGUGCCCACCUGCGCAACGCGCUGGCGCACCUCGGCCUUUUCGCCAAGGUAAAUUAUAUACACUUGUGCAGGCGCGUUUUGCGAUUCGCACGCGCGCAUCCGCGCGGUGAAAUUCGCUCCUGGCUUUUUUGGACGAUGUACGUCCCGUUUAUUCGGCAGAGUACGACCGGUCACAUUUGUGCGAGGGGCUGCUUAAUGAGUACAUCCU